RNAcentral lists this ribosomal RNA (440 nucleotides) under uncultured bacterium. RNAcentral's name for it is "partial 16S ribosomal RNA". It matches the Rfam family "Bacterial small subunit ribosomal RNA", at positions 338 to 795 of the family's 1533-position model. The record is from RNAcentral.
CCUACGGGAGGCAGCAGUGGGGGAUAUUGCUCAAUGGGGGCAACUCUGAUGCAGCGACGCCGCGUGUGGGAAGACGGUCCUCUGGAUUGUAAACCACUGUCCCCAGGGACGAAGAUGACGGUACCUGGGGAGGAAGCUCCGGCUAACUACGUGCCAGCAGCCGCGGUAAUACGUAGGGAGCGAGCGUUGUCCGGAAUUACUGGGUGUAAAGGGAGCGUAGGCGGGACUGCAAGUUGGGUGUAAAAUCUACCGGCUCAACCGGUAGCCGCACUCAAAACUGCAGUUCUUGAGGGAAGUAGAGGCAGGCGGAAUGCCUGGUGUAGCGGUGAAAUGCGUAGAUAUUAGGAGGAACACCAGUGGCGAAGGCGGCCUGCUGGGCUUUUACUGACGCUGAGGCUCGAAAGUGUGGGGAGCAAACAGGAUUAGAUACCCGAGUAGUC